AACGUGUUACAUUUUGCAAUAAAUGUAAAUGAAACGUGUGCGGACGUUGUCUGACAACGACGACGUCGAUAAAUUUUAAGCGUCGCGCGUCGAUGGACGGCCUAUCUCAUCGAUAGCCGACCGGAGUGCGUCGCUACAAACAGAGCUCGACAGGGCACAUCGCCGUUUUCUUUCGCGUCUCCGUACGACGAUUGAUCUACGACGAUAAAGUGCCCGUCGCUCGACCGUGUUACCCUACGGGUUACCUCGACAGGGCGCAUCGCCGUUUUCUUUCGCGUCUCCGGACGACGAUCGAUCUACGACGAUAAAGUGCCCGUCGCCAACGGGUUACCUCGACAGGGCGCAUCGCCGUUUUCUUUCGCGUCUCCGGACGACGAUCGAUCUACGACGAUAUAGUGCCCGUCGCUCGACCGUGUUAACCCACGGGGUUCAAAACACAAUUUAGCGAUGAUUGAGUUCGAUGCGACGAUUAGGUCUCGACCGCGGCGCUCGAUACUCUGUGUGUGAGACAUCUGCUAUAUAAAAUACCUGCUCCGUAUCAUCCGAUGCGUGAGCGAAUUUUGAAGGCAUCGCUUGAUGGCGUCCUUUUUAACACUGAUGAAUGCGGUGUUUGAAUCGAAUUCGUCGUUCCAUCGACGAUUCUUUUCAUGUUAAUCGCACUCGCAUUCCAGUCAGCUCGAUCACGCACUUCGUGCGAUCGUGCGAAUGACGGGCGCUCGCGUAACUGCGUCGCUCUAGAUUACGGAAUAUUGCGCCAAGACGACAGUUCAUUGGAAAGUUGUCGAAUCGCAUUUUCCACUAUCACACAAAAUCAAUACCGUUUUGAUAAAGACCGAAAGCGUAAAGCUCGAGGUGUACGAAUUGUAACUUGAAACAUAUACCAAUUUUCGAUAAACGACCCCCAUCGGUGACGUUGGCGUGCAGUCGAUCGAAAGCCGGUAAAAUUUAUAUAUAUAAUCACCCUGACC
Molecule: unclassified non-coding RNA, 968 nt
Filed under: Pulex irritans
Lineage: Eukaryota; Metazoa; Arthropoda; Insecta; Siphonaptera; Pulicidae
Description: sequence contains ITS1
Source: RNAcentral